GACGAACGCUGGCGGCGUGCCUAAUACAUGCAAGUUGAGCGCUGAAGGUUGGUACUUGUACCAACUGGAUGAGCAGCGAACGGGUGAGUAACGCGUGGGGAAUCUGCCUUUGAGCGGGGGACAACAUUUGGAAACGAAUGCUAAUACCGCAUAAAAACUUUAAACACAAGUUUUAAGUUUGAAAGAUGCAAUUGCAUCACUCAAAGAUGAUCCCGCGUUGUAUUAGCUAGUUGGUGAGGUAAAGGCUCACCAAGGCGAUGAUACAUAGCCGACCUGAGAGGGUGAUCGGCCACAUUGGGACUGAGACACGGCCCAAACUCCUACGGGAGGCAGCAGUAGGGAAUCUUCGGCAAUGGACGAAAGUCUGACCGAGCAACGACGCGUGAGUGAAGAAGGGUUUCGGAUCGUAAAACUCUGUUGGUAGAGAAGAACGUUGGUGAGAGUGGAAAGCUCAUCAAGUGACGGUAACUACCCAGAAAGGGACGGCUAACUACGUG
Molecule: ribosomal RNA, 497 nt
Filed under: uncultured bacterium
Lineage: Bacteria
Description: partial 16S ribosomal RNA
Rfam family: Bacterial small subunit ribosomal RNA
Source: RNAcentral